Molecule: long non-coding RNA, 360 nt
Organism: Portunus trituberculatus (swimming crab)
Lineage: Eukaryota; Metazoa; Arthropoda; Malacostraca; Decapoda; Portunidae
Exons: 4
Source: RefSeq, a predicted model, not a curated record
GGAAGCAGAGGGAGUGACUCAAGCAGUUCGGAAGUGGAAUUGUGUUCGUGUUACGUCUAUGCAGUCCAGUGUUGCCUAGAAACUAGGCGCCGGGGGAAAAAGAUCCUCAGCAGUACUGGGCCGUGCUGGACUGGGGCGGAACCAGGCACUAGUGGAUGAUCAGCUGCCGUAAGUUUGAGGUUAAGAUUGAGAUUGAGAUUGUACCAGUGGCCGGGAAUGUGCAGUGGCUUCCCCUCUGCCUCUGCGCAACACUCAAAUGUGGCGGACGGUAUACCUCCUCCUGGCGGCCACCACGCUAUGUCAAGACCAUCGACUUACCUGAAGGUCUGGCCUUCAGGCACACGACAGUAGCGCCUCCUU